GGUGCGGUUCAAUGAUGAGAGGAACUGGUAGAGUUUCUUCUCAUUUUUCGUUUGUCUAUUGGAAUGUGAUUGUGCAACUAAGAAAUGAAGGUGAGGCAAGAAGGAUCGACCUUGAGGGAUGAUAGGGAUUGAGUAGGUGAUGCUUAUUCCAUCUAUGGAUUGUAAGAAAACCUGAUAUAAUUAAGGAAAUCAGAUGGAUUUUCUCAGUUGGGCGGGAUGUUUGGAGUAAGACAGAAUUUACGAUGCCAAGAGAUUCAGAGGAAGAGCCGGGAUCUCCAUUUUCUUGAGGAGAUGAACUCUUAAUUCAUGAAAUGCGGAAGUUAAAGACUUAAGAUCAUAUGAAGGGAGUGAAGAUGGUGGCGCAGUGAGAAAGUUACCUGUAUUGCAAAGUAGUUUUUGACCGUUUUUUGCCGUGACGUCGUCGGCGUAGGUGCGAACGCAACGUUACGAAUGCGGAAGUGGUCUGGAGGCCCGGUGAGGGCGAGUAGCGUUUUGAUAUGAGUCCUUGAAUAAUUGGAAAUGUUUAUUUUAAUGUUGGUGUAAUGAAACGAGAUGUCUCGCUGGCUGAGUGCGUGUCUCAGGUGAGAAACUGUCCGGUCGGAAGUGUUCGGAGCAGUGGGACUGUCGGGAGUGUAGACAGGAUGACUUCGGGUCGCGGACACUUCACGUGCUGUUCGAGCGCCUGGAUUUCUAGCGGGUCGGGAAGAGGCGAGAAGGACGGGCGACAUCUGUUGUACGCCCGAAGAAGAAAUUUUCCUCGAGGCUGCUGAUGUGUGGAGGCCGACCACGUUUGAAACUGUUGGAGGGAGAAAGCCGAGAGACCCGGGGAACGGUGAUUGCUAAGCGCAUCCGAGGUUGCUGAUGGGCGUUAGGAGAUGGAGAGGACUUAGAAGCUUCAGGGGUUUCCUGAUCGUCCCCGGACAGAUCUGAAGCAUAAGGCGCUGUAUCAAGGCAUCUAAAGCUCAACCUGGCAGAGACUCAUCUUGUCAGGGGAAAGAAUUCCUGUGCAGUCAGUCACCGUCCAUCACAAUGAUGUUGCACUUGUCAUCUCCAACCUGCUUCUGCCCCCAGACCAAAAUAGCUAACACAGCACACUGCUGCCUGUUUUGGUGCUCAAUCUCCCAAAGUUUUCCCACGUUUAUAUAUGUACUUUAAUGCUCAAUUGUACAACCUAUUUUGAUAGUGCUGUGUUUACCUAAGCUCAUGUCUGAAUUUGGUGAUGUAUAUUUGCUCCUAUGUGCAGUAUUGCAUUAAAUUUUCUAAAAUUUCA
Lates calcarifer (barramundi perch) is the source of this 1270-nucleotide long non-coding RNA. RefSeq lists it as uncharacterized. The record is from RefSeq and is a predicted model, not a curated record. NCBI's taxonomy places the organism in Eukaryota, Metazoa, Chordata, Actinopteri, Centropomidae. The transcript has 2 exons.